Molecule: long non-coding RNA, 1330 nt
Filed under: Medicago truncatula (barrel medic)
Lineage: Eukaryota; Viridiplantae; Streptophyta; Magnoliopsida; Fabales; Fabaceae
Description: long non-coding RNA (MTRU_LNC004947)
Source: RNAcentral
AAUAUUUUCAGCAUACAAAGCAAAUUCACAAAAUCUCUCAUUUUUACUUUGUUUCAGUAUUCUAAAAAUUGCUCUUUUGUUUUUGAGCUCUUUUUAGUUUUACCACAAAUAUUUUAUUUUGGUCAAAGUAAGAAUUUAUUUCUUAUUGCAUUGUAAAGCUUGUAAGUAACAAGUGUGUAAAAAGACAAGGUAAAAUCACUCGUUUGUAGGAAAAGAUCAGGAGGAUCUAGUAAGAGUGAUUUGUACUCGUUUGAUCUUUUGGUUGUAAAAGCAAAGGUAGAUUUACUCGUUUGCAGGAAAGAUCAGUCGGAUCUAGCAAGGGUAAAGGUUACUCAUUUGUGAACAAGGAAAAGAGGAGUUGUGGUUGACGUUAUUUAACGCAACUAUCUAGUGGAUAAUCUCACACUUGUGUGGGGAGUGGAAGUAGCCGGCGUUUGACGAACAACGAUAACUUUCGUGUGUCAUUUUUCUCUCUCUACUUACUUUUAAUUUAUUGUUCAAAAUCAUACACCUCACAGUUAUUAUUGUUAUUAUUAAUUUACUAACAAACUAAUCGUGAUUGAUAAAUUAAAAGAAAAUUUUUAUUAUGUAAAUUUUAAACAGAUCACAAUUCAAAGCCCCCUUUCUUGUGAAAAUAUUUUACUUCAAGGGCAUGGCGGUAUCAACGAAACACGGCGACGUCGCCGAGUUUGGGGCUCAGGCAGGAACAAUAUUAUCUGCCUGAAGAUAAUCCACCACAACAUCCUGUGGCACCUCCUCAUCAUCUGCCACCUCCUCAUCCUCUGCCUCCUCCUCCUCUUGCGGCUGAUAAAAUAUAUUCUCCUCCUCCAUCCGAUCAUAUCCCUGAAAUCUCUCCACAUACUCAUACGUUUGUGUCGGAUCAACCACCUGGGAAGAGUAAUCCAUCUGCGACUGUGAGCCCUCUCCAACUAGCCUCGAGUCCCUGCACUUCCGAGCCUUGGGACAUACGGGUUUUGAUCCACCUUCUCUCUCCGAGCGCUAGCGGUACUCACCUCUUUACCUUUACGCAUCCUGGCCUCUCUAAUAAACCGAUUAUGCUCAUCCUCCUCCCUAGCCAUAUCUUUACAAAACAAAUUAAAAAAAACACACAUAAGUGGACAAUGUAUUUAGGCAUUUCAAAGGAACGUAAAGGUAUACAAAAUAAAGGAUACAUAUUCUAGGCAUAUAUGAUUUUGAUUGAUAUUUGAUAGAUGUAUAUACAUUAUAACACACAAAUCCAAACUAAUCAUUAUAUCAAUAUGCUCAAAAUAUGGUUAUUAUAUCAUUAUGUCCAAACUAAUCAAACUUAUCAAAAAAAGCAAAACUACAA